Small nuclear RNA from Nycticebus coucang (slow loris), 108 nucleotides. Lineage: Eukaryota; Metazoa; Chordata; Mammalia; Primates; Lorisidae. The record is from RefSeq and is a predicted model, not a curated record.
GAGCUCGUUUGGGCAACACAUACACUGAAAGUUGGAACAACACGAAGAAGGUUAGCACAGCCCCUGUGCAAGGGUGACAUGCAAAUUUGUGAAGUGUUCCAGUUUGCC